This 907-nucleotide long non-coding RNA is filed under the name Papio anubis (olive baboon). RNAcentral describes it as "lncRNA (ENSPANG00000043355.1)". The record is from RNAcentral. Lineage: Eukaryota; Metazoa; Chordata; Mammalia; Primates; Cercopithecidae.
CGGCUAUGAGCUCCAAAGUUGAGAAACAUAUUUGCUGAACCCUUUUCCUUAAAUUACAUUUAUAGAAAUAGGAAAAAUGGAAUAUCUCCAUUAGGCAGCAUUUAAAAGCACUGAAGAAGUGUAGGGAUGUGAAAACACUUCUAAAAAAGCAAGUUUGGGCCGGGCGCGGUGGCUCAAGCCUGUAAUCCCAGCACUUUGGGAGGCCGAGAUGGGCGGAUCACGAGGUCAGGAGAUCGAGACCAUCCUGGCUAACAGGGUGAAACCCCGUCUCUACUAAAAACACAAAAAAUGAGCUGGGCGUGGUGGCGGGCGCCUGUAGUCCCAGCUACUCGGGAGGCUGAGGCAGGAGAAUGGCGUGAACCCGGGAGGCGGAGCUUGCAGGAGAAUGGCGUGAACCCGGGAGGCGGAGCUUGCAGUGAGCCGAGAUCUGGCCACUGCACUCCAGCCUGGGUGACAGGGUGAAACUGCGACACUCCGCCUCACAAAAAAAAAAAAAAAAAAAAAAAAGAAAGUCAGAGAGUUUUGAUGGCUAUGGGUGAGAUUCUCUGGUGGGAAGGCCCUGAACAUAGCUGACAAGUGAGACAAAUGCUGGUAGCCCUGGAGGGCUACAAAUGGGUCUUGACAGGAAUAGACACUGGCUAUGGAGUGGAUGUUGCUUGCCCAGAAGAUGAAAAUUCUCCGAGUGCAAUAAAAAACCAGAACAGAAGAUAUUACAUGGAUAUAGAUGGCUAACCAUAAUUUUUUCAGACCAAGGAACACAGUGUACAGUCCAUAACAAUAGUCCAACAAUGGACAAAGAAAUAUCCUCCUAGAGUAAUAGUUUGAUAGAGAAGUAGAGCAGGCAAUUGAAACAUUGAUUGUGUAAUAAAAGCACAAAGGGCUGGCUCACAUGCCUUCCUGUCUGUUC